This is a long non-coding RNA of Marmota monax (woodchuck), 6504 nucleotides long. RefSeq lists it as uncharacterized. The record is from RefSeq and is a predicted model, not a curated record. The transcript is spliced from 3 exons. NCBI's taxonomy places the organism in Eukaryota, Metazoa, Chordata, Mammalia, Rodentia, Sciuridae.
CUGAGGGUGGGAAACCUCAGGGACCAGCCUGAGCCCUGCUGCAAGGGGAGGGUGUGUCACUGGUGGGAGCAGCUCUUCCUGUUGGCUAGUUGGCUAUUCUGAGCAUGUCCCCUCCUCUCCUAGGUUGCUAAUCCAAACACCAGGAUCUCCUGAUACUCUGCCUCCUCAGCUAAAAGAUGGUGGAUCCCUGGGGGCAGGGUCAACAGCGGAGCUCAGGAGCUCCUCCGGCCCCUGGCUCUGUGCCAGCCUCUGUCACUAUGUAGAGACUUUAAACCAAUCUUUUCCCCAUACAAACCUGGAGCCCCUAUUUGGCUGGACUUUACCAUUUUCUUUAGUGUUAGUUAUAGGUGGACACAAUACCUUUAUUUUAUUUUUAAUGUGGUGCUGAGGAUCGAACCCAGGACCUCACACAUGCUAGGUAAGUGCUCUUCCUCUAAGCCACAACCCCAGCCCUUAUUAUUUUUUUAUUUUUAAGACAAGUUCUCGCUGAGUUGCUGAGGCUGGCUUUGAACUUGUGAUCCUCCUGCCUCAGCCUCCCCAGUUGCUAGGAUUGCAGGCACGGGCCACCAUGCUGGGGCAAAAGAGGUUGUUUUGAACUAGUUAGAGGUGAUGCUUGCACAACGCCGUGACUGUCCUGGAUUCUACUGAAAUGUACACGUUCAUGGAGCUCAUUUUACUAUGUGAAUUUCACCUCCAUAUAAAAAACAAACAAUAAUGACAACAACAAACCAAAUCAGGCUACAUAGACCCAGGCAAGGCCCCUUUCCCUGGCAGCACCAGCAGGCUCUUAUCAGCUCCAUACGAUGACCAGUCAAAGGUCCUGGGCCUUACAGAAACCAGCUGACCUGGGAUUCCAGGUGGGCCUGGCCCGGCCUGGCCUGUCUGGGACAGUGACAUAACCACUCAAGGGCCAGCAUCCCCUAAGCAGAGCCAAGGAGCCACCGGGGGCCUAUCCCUCUGUGCUCAGGAAGGAGGGUCAUUGAUGCUGCUGGACCUCAAUCUCUGGCCCAGUCCGGCCACCCUGGGACCAGGCUGGGGAGGCACAGGAUCAGCGAUAUGCCCUGUGAGCCCUACUGGAGCUUGCCGCCGAUGAACAGAUGGGCAUUAAAUCUCCUUGAUUAUCUGGUGGCGUGUACUCCCUGAAGUGGUGUGCAAUUGUUCCUGCAACCCUCUGAUCCAGUCUUGUUCUUGCUGAGAGUUGUUUUGGUGGCCAGGAGUGUAUCAAAGAUGUGGCUGAAAGAAGGAGGUGAGUGCAGUAAGGAGGAGACCUGGGGUUCCGCCCUACCCUGCAGGGAAAUCCAAAAGGCCUGCAUUGCUCUAGAGUCUGCACGGACCUGAAGCUGCUUAAACCUUCUCUGAGCUCCAGCUGCUGCCUGGGACCCAGGGGGGCCUGGUGUGUGCCGGGCUGUGCGAGCUGCCCACUGCGUCCACUAGAUGGCGGGCUGGCCGCGCAGGUGAAUGGCCGCGCCUCCCUGUGAGCCAUUCUAGCUUUUAAGGCUCACUUGCCAGUGGCUGGCGUUAAGGCACCUCUUGGAGAAGACCCGGGCCCAGACAGGUGAAGUGACAUACCCGUUAUCCUUUACUACCUAAGUGAUAUUGGCUGUUAUACUCGACAUAUCCAAACUCUCCUUUGAUCAUUUGGUCUCUGUUUUAGAGGUAUCUUUUGAAAGCCUGGUGAAAGCUAUAAGACCCUCUCCUUGGGAAAGUUCGAAAAUAAUUUCAGGAGCUUCAAGAACACUCCAGAAAUAGACCCAGAACCUGUCUGACAUGUCCAUAGACUACAAAUUCCAUUUGGAGUUUAUUUUUAACUCCUAACUUUCUGUUCCUGAAAUGGAUCUAACCAUGUUCACUCUGAAAUUUUUUAAAAUUGAGCACCUACUAUGUUCUAGGCACUGUUCUGGGUGCCAGAGAUAUUUGUCUUUGGGGAGAUUUAGUUCUAGAGAGGGAAAGCAAGUAAUAAAAAUGGACAAAAUUAGUGUUGUCAGCAUUAACACUGUUCUCUAAAUAUUUCCAGUUCUCCUUCCCUUUCUGGUCCAUGGUAGGAUCUUACUUCCAGCUCCUCAUAUGGUUGGGUGAAACCAGGUGACCAGUUCUGACUAAUGAAUCAUGAGAAGCCAUGUGUUACUUGGGCAUGAGCAUCUAAUUGCUGUCGCGAGGCCCUCCAGAACUUUCCCUCAUACCUGACAUGGAAACAGGAAAUAUUUAAGAAGGGGUUCAUUUAAUCAGCCCAGGUCCCUGAGACCUAGCAUGAGUGAGAAAUAUUAGAUGUUCCUCCACUUACAAAGGAGGAACCCUCCUCUCACAAAUUGAAAGUACCAUAAAUUGAAAAUGCAUUUAAUCUACCUGACCCACCAAACAUCACAGCUUAACAACAAUAGCACAUCAUGAUGUCAAAUGUUUUCCUAUGUGACUGGGAGCUAUGGCUCACUGCCACUGCCCAGCAUCAUAAAAGAGUGUUGAACCAACUAUCAUGAGGCCUGGGAAAAGAUCAACAUUUGAAGUACAGUUUGUACUGAAUGCUUGUCACUUUUGUACUAGGCAAAAGUCAAAGACAUUGUAAGUUGGGGACCAUCUUUGCUUUUUAAAGUCACUGAGAUUUUUGGGAGAUGUUUGUUACUGUAGCAUAACCUGGCCUGUUCUGACUGAUAAGAUAAUAAAUAAAUAAUAGAACAUGAUUAUAAAGAUUGCUAGAAGGAGAUCAAAGCAGCAGAAAAAAGACACAGUUGAGGAGGAUAAAUGGUCCUGGAAGUGUGAGGAAGUGGAUGGAUGGGGAGGAAGAUGGAACCUUUUAAACAGAGCCAUUAAGGUAGCUUCACUGAGAAAGUGAUCCCUGAAAAGAAAAUGAGCUCUGCAGGGAUCUGGGGCAAAGAGCGUCCCAGCCAGGGCGAGAGCCAGGGCAAAGGUCGGAUGUUUCUGAUGUGUCCAGAAAACAGCCAAGAGGUUGGUGUGGCUGGAGCAGAUGAGGGCUGAGGUCAGAGAAGUAAAGGGGCCAUUUCUUGUGUAGCCUCGUGGCCACAUAAGGACAUCGUUGUCAUGUUCUCUGAGUGACAUGGGGGGACCCAUGGUGGGGCUUCGAGCCCAAACAUGACUUGAUAUGACUGACAUUUUUGAAGGACCCCCGUGGCACCUGAUUGAGACUAGGCGUGGUGGGGGGGGCAGCGUGGGAGUGGGGAGCCGAGGGACAGUUACCGUGCUGGGCGGAGGUGGGCUGGAGGCUGUUGGAUGUACGACUGGAGUUGGGAGAAUAUGAAUUUGGGAGUCACUGGUGGAAAGAAGGUAGCAAAAGUUCAACGUUUUAAAAACACUGUUGGUUAUAAAAAAGAACAUUGCAGUGCAGCGUUAUACACAGCUGGACCCUUAGGACUAGAGAUGAAUAUUGUGGAAAGCGAUGCGGUUACCCCUGUGAGGAACUCUGAUGGUGUCAGGGAGCCACCGUGUUCCCUUUGCUUUAGGAAAAUCAAGGACAUUCAUUGUCUUUUCUAUCAUGCAAUGAUCCCUCUGGGCUAAGAUUUUUUGAGCUAAAGCCUUAGAACAGUGGUUUUCCCCAAGAAAUGGACACAUUUCCUAUUUCCUGGAAAGAUAAAUUGUGAAAAAAAUUCUGUGUCCCUUUUCUCUUCAGGUGCCAAGGAGCUCAGAUACCAAUCGGAAACUAUAAUACCUUUGUUUUUAUUUUCCUUCAUUCCAACUUCCACUUUCAACUCUUGAUUUUAGUAUUUCGAUGUUUUAUUUAUUUAUUUAUUUAUUUAUUUUGGAGACAGGUCUUGCUAUGUUGCAUAGGCUGUCCUUGAACUGGACUCAAGAGAUCCUCCUCCCUCAGCCUUCUGAGUUAACUGGGACCUCAGGUGCACAUCACUGUGUUAGUUUACCUAGUAUGUUCUUGCUGUAAAUUCUCUCAAAUUCCAUGUGGAAGGAGGCAGGUAUACUGGGGAAAAAAAGAAUCAGAACUGAACAAAGUUACUUUUUAAUGACAAUACAACUCAUUUGUAAGUAAAAAGAUAUUGAAAAAUGGUCUCUAAAGUAAUUUUCUCUAGUCAGUAUCCUACUCCAGCUGACUUUCAUUAUGAAAUUGAAGAUGGGUCCCUCAAGGAAAAAUAAUUCUAGGCCUGAAAAAUUAUAUUAAAAAAAUCACACUUUAAAAUUGCAGCAUAUAUGAAAAUUCACAUAUUUUAAAGGAACUAAGCAGCCCAGCAUAAGAUACAGAGAAUAAUAUGCAAAAGAAGUCACAAAACACAAAUGUAAAAUAAACUAUGUGGCAUUGUCUUUAUGUCCUGGAGCGAUGAUUUAAAGCUCAGAAAAAGGAGGUGCAUUUUCCUGUUUGGACAGGCUGCUCUUUGAGUUUCGGUGGCUCACCUUUUUCUGGAAUCCUCUGGAGCCAAUCUCUAAGACCCCACGAAGCCUUCUUGACUUUACCACAUCCCCUUCAGCCGCUGUUUUAUUAAUCUGUCAAUAUUGGAUGUUCAAAUCAAUUCCUUGUUUAAACUUCAAUUGAUUUAAAGAAGGAAGCGGUGUAAAUAAUACAUAGCAUAUGUAAAUUCAUGGAUCUUCUGUUUUCCUAAUGCACAUUCAAAUCAAUUCAUAAGCCUUAAAAUAAAAAGUGGUGCGGUGUGUUCCCCUGAAAUGAUCUAUUUCACCCCAUGCUGAUCACACAGCGGGGUAGGGAGAGGCAGGCUCUGUCCUGGAGGGUAAAUGUACCCAGUCCUUGGAAGUAGCCAGUGGACCUUCAAACCAACUAAAUUAACUCGGCUGAUGAACUAGAUGGACUGAGAGGCGGGUCCAGCAUGUUCUCCAUGUAAGUCAGCAGAGAGUGGAGCACCCCCCUGCCCCACCCCAGUUUGGGGUUGGGGACAUCUUGCUGCAAUGUGGUCUCUGUUAGCAUCUAGCUCACCUCUGAUUCCUGUUUGUCAUGGUGCUGGCCCAUUUUGACAAGCUGUAGAAAUGAUGGGGGGUAUUUGGUCUCCAGUAGUGAAUCUUAAACUUGCCAUUUAUAUAUUUUUUGGAACCAGGAAUUGAACUCAGGGGUACUUCACCACUGAGCCACAUCCCAGCUCCUCCCCCCCUUUUUUUUUUUGUAUUUUAUUUUAUUUAGAGACAGGGUCUCAGAGUUGCUUAGAACCUUGCUAAAUUGCUGAGGCUGGCUUUGAACUUGUGAUCCUCCUGCCUCAGCCUCCCUAGCUGCUGGGAUUAUAGUCGUGAGCCACUGCACCCAGUUUAAGCUUACCUUUUAUGACAGAGGUCCUCAACUGCAAGCCCUGAUCCUGCAGCGCCAGCAUUAUCAGGAACUUGCUAAAAAUGCAAGUUCUUGGACCCCAGCCCAGACUUAAGGAUUAUGAUCGUCUAGAGAUCAUAUGGAUGCUAAAUUUUGAGAACCACUGUUCCAGAAGAAACUCCAUCGAUAGACAGUCAACAGGGUCAAGGAGUUUCAGGACAUGAAUCUGUAGACGGUUAACCUCAAACAAUCACAAAAUCACUGACCUUCAGUUUCCUCAUCUGGAAGGUAAGAAAAGGGCUGAGUCAGAGCGAGAUUCUCAGCCCUGCUGGAACACGGGGGGCAGCUUUUCUGGUGGUGUUACACAAAAGGGUAUAGUAUAAUCCUAUUUAUGACUCCAUUUACAUGAGGUCCUGGAAUGGGUCAAAACUAUUCUAUGAUGGGAAUGAGCAAAACAAUAGGGUGCAUGUGUUUCUUGAAAAUUUAUUAGAUAGUACACGUAAGACUUGUGCAUUUUAUUCUAUGCAUAUUUUUUCUUUAAAAGAAAAAAAAGGACUAUCAAUGAAUAUUCUAGUUAGUUAAUGACAAGUAUUUAUGGGUGAAAGGUCCUAAUGUCACAAUUCAUUUGGAAAUGUGUCAGAAAUAGGUUAGCUCAUUGGAUGGAUAGAAGGCUGGGUAGCUGGAGCAGGGCUUGGUGGCACACUCCUGUAAUUCCAGUGGCUGAGAUAGGAGAAUCGUGAGUUCAAAGCCAGCCUCAGCAAUGGCAAGGUGCUAAGCAACUCAGACCCUGUCUCAAAUAAAAUACAAAAUAGGACCAAGGAUGUGGCUCAGUGGCUGAGUGCCCCUGAGUUCAAUCCCCAGUACCAUCCCCCCCCCAAAAAAAAGAAGGCUGGGUAGUUAGAUAGAUAAGUGACAGAGUGAGUACAAUCAGGUGUUAAUUGUAGCAUCUAGGUGGUGUAUAUAUGGUUGUUUAUCCCAAAAUUUCUUUCAACAAAAUUUGAAUUUUUUUCUUUUAAAAACAAAUACUACUGAGGAUUGAACUACUAAAAUAUAUCCCUGGCCCUUUUUACGCUUUAUUUUGAGAUAAAGUCUUAUUAAGUUGAGUAGGCUGGCUUUGAACUUGGCAAUCCUUCUGCCUCAGCAUCCCAAGUAGCUGGGAUUACAGGUGUGCAUCACCUGUGCCUGGCAAGUUUGAACAUUUUUAGGAUAAAAUGUUGAGGGGGAAAUUCUGAAGCUGACCCACCUCUAUUAAUGAAAUUUUUCAUGAAUAAAAAUUCUACCUUUGGAGAGAGAUGUAU